Danio rerio (zebrafish) is the source of this 233-nucleotide non-coding RNA. NCBI's taxonomy places the organism in Eukaryota, Metazoa, Chordata, Actinopteri, Cypriniformes, Danionidae. The record is from Ensembl.
CUCAUUACCUUUCUUUAUUAUUCACAGUACAUUUAUUACUAUUUUGGGUGCACACAAAAUCAGUUAUCUGUACUGUAUGUUUUGUUAAUUUAGUUUUCUUUUGAGUUUAAGUUACCGUGCUGCAGUGCCGACGAGGAACAGAGUUUCCGGGUGUGGUCCGCCCAACUAUAGGUCCGACGUGCCGCAAGAUGCCGUCUUUUGGUUCCACCUGCCAAUACCAUUGGCUUAAUGGC